CUGUUANGUAGACUGCUCAUGAAAUUAAUAGCCGCUUAUAGUGCUAAGGUAGCAUAAUCAUUUGUCUUUUAAAUGAAGACUAGAACAAAAGAUUUAACAUUUUAAUAAAUAUUUCUUGUUAAUAUAAUUGAAAUUAUUUUAAACGUAAAAAAACCUCUAUAUUAAAGAUAGACGACAAGACCCUAUUGAACUUAACUCAUGUUAAACUGGGGCAGUUAAUAAAUAAACAUUUUUAAUCUAAAUAAUAUACAAAAAUUGAUCUAAUAUAAUUAAUUAAUUGAUCAAGUUACCAUAGGGAUAACAGCGUAAUAUACUUUUUAAGAUCUUAUAUAAAUAUAAGCUUACGACCUCGAUGUUGAAUUAAUAACCUAAUUUAAAGCAAAAGUUAAAAAAGGAAGUCUGUUCGACUUUUAAAAAAUUACAUGAUCUGAGUCNAANCCCGGAGGA
Molecule: ribosomal RNA, 447 nt
Filed under: Tibellus oblongus
Lineage: Eukaryota; Metazoa; Arthropoda; Arachnida; Araneae; Philodromidae
Description: partial 16S ribosomal RNA
Source: RNAcentral